Molecule: ribosomal RNA, 497 nt
Filed under: uncultured bacterium
Lineage: Bacteria
Description: partial 16S ribosomal RNA
Rfam family: Bacterial small subunit ribosomal RNA
Source: RNAcentral
GAUGAACGCUGGCGGCGUGCCUAAUACAUGCAAGUCGAGCGAACAGAUAAGGAGCUUGCUCCUUUGACGUUAGCGGCGGACGGGUGAGUUACACGUGGAUAACCUACCUAUAAGACUGGGAUAACUUCGGGAAACCGGAGCUAAUACCGGAUAACAUAUUGAACCGCAUGGUUCAAUAGUGAAAGGCGGCUUUGCUGUCACUUAUAGAUGGAUCCGCGCCGUAUUAGCUAGUUGGUAAGGUAACGGCUUACCAAGGCAACGAUACGUAGCCGACCUGAGAGGGUGAUCGGCCACACUGGAACUGAGACACGGUCCAGACUCCUACGGGAGGCAGCAGUAGGGAAUCUUCCGCAAUGGGCGAAAGCCUGACGGAGCAACGCCGCGUGAGUGAUGAAGGUCUUCGGAUCGUAAAACUCUGUUAUCAGGGAAGAACAAAUGUGCAAGUAACUGUGCACAUCUUGACGGUACCUGAUCAGAAAGCCACGGCUAACUACGUG